AAUGAACGCUGGCGGCAGGCCUAACACAUACAAGUCGAACGGGUCCUUCGGGACUAGUGGCGGACGGGUGAGUAACGCGUGGGAACAUGCCCUUUGGUACGGAAUAGCCUCGGGAAACUGGGAGUAAUACCGUAUGUGGUCGAGAGACGAAAGAUUUAUCGCCAAAGGAUUGGCCCGCGUUGGAUUAGGUAGUUGGUGGGGUAAUGGCCUACCAAGCCGACGAUCCAUAGCUGGUUUGAGAGGAUGAUCAGCCACACUGGGACUGAGACACGGCCCAGACUCCUACGGGAGGCAGCAGUGGGGAAUCUUAGACAAUGGGGGAAACCCUGAUCUAGCCAUGCCGCGUGAUCGAUGAAGGCCUUAGGGUUGUAAAGAUCUUUCAGGUGGGAAGAUAAUGACUGUACCACCAGAAGAAGCCCCGGCUAACUCCGUGCCAGCAGCCGCCGUAA
Molecule: ribosomal RNA, 449 nt
Filed under: uncultured bacterium
Lineage: Bacteria
Description: partial 16S ribosomal RNA
Rfam family: Bacterial small subunit ribosomal RNA
Source: RNAcentral